AUCUAUUUGACGCACAAAUAUAAUAUAUAUAUCUUAUAAUCAUUAAGAUAAUUCCCGAUAUAUGUGGAAUAAAGUCAACCGAAAGUUGCAAAAUCUUUAUAUUAUGAACAUACAUACAUACAUAUGGGGUAACAGAUUGCACAAACACAUUGAAACAUUUUCAGCUGUUCACUGACACUGUUAACUUGGGCAAUGGGAGAAUACAUAAGUAAGAUAGAGAAAAACUUUCGACAUUUGAAACAUUUGGUAAUAUUAACUUGCUGGAAUAGGAAAGACGAAUACCCAAUUUUUCAAGAAGGAGAAAACGAAAAGUGCAGUUUACUUUAAAUUUUAAAGAGAAAGCGAAAAAGCUGAAGAAGGAGAAAUAGAGAAUCAUUUGGAGCAUUUAGAGCAUUGGGACAAUUCAAAUAUAUAAUAUUACGAUUUACAAAAAAUUAAGAUACAUUUCCUGACAAGAACAAUCUGUGGGGAGUUCCAGAGAUUUUCCAGACGUUUUAAACAAAAAACACAACUUAAG
This is a long non-coding RNA of Bactrocera latifrons, 517 nucleotides long. RefSeq lists it as uncharacterized. NCBI's taxonomy places the organism in Eukaryota, Metazoa, Arthropoda, Insecta, Diptera, Tephritidae. The transcript has 4 exons. The record is from RefSeq and is a predicted model, not a curated record.